This 490-nucleotide long non-coding RNA is filed under the name Coturnix japonica (Japanese quail). Its description in RNAcentral is "lncRNA (ENSCJPG00005018388.1)". Lineage: Eukaryota; Metazoa; Chordata; Aves; Galliformes; Phasianidae. The record is from RNAcentral.
AAUGUAUUCUGCCUAUCAGGAAAACUGUCUGAAAGCUGAAGUUUGCUAGCAAUGCUCAUGGUUACAGUACAUACUCACAAGUGUCAGGGACACAAGCUGACCUCUGCUGAGGACCAUAUGCUCAGCAUAAUUUUGCUGAUCUCAGUCUCAGGAGCCAGACAAACCUGUGGAAUCAGUGGUACUCAGAAGCUGCCAAGUGAAAUAGAAAGAAUGUUCCCAUCAGACUUUUAAAUUCAGUUAUGUUCCACUUAAAAAGGAAGCUUGGGCAACUUCCUUUGUUUUACUAGCAUUUACUAUUUAGAUUACAAUACAACUGGGAUAAUUUUCUGAAUGUAUACAACAACACAGUCAAUGCCUAGGGAAGCUUUUGGCCUAAAUAAGGGAAAAAAAGGAAGGAGUACAACUUAAAAUUGGUCAGUUUUAAUAUGAAUUAUGUUUUCCACAGGUUGUGAAUUAAUUUACAAUUUGUUCUGGAUUACUCUAAAACUUC